RNA transcript from Homo sapiens (human), 571 nucleotides. It is a transcript of the gene named coronin 1A pseudogene, with no coding region annotated. The record is from RefSeq and is marked provisional. Lineage: Eukaryota; Metazoa; Chordata; Mammalia; Primates; Hominidae. The transcript has a single exon.
GUAAUCCUGAGGCCUCAGAACACAGGUUUCAGAUUGAUAGGCCUGCAGGUCUCCAGGCAGCAACCAGCUGAGCGACUAAAGGGCCCAAGGCCAGGGCUCUAGGGAUGGGGCUCAGCAGAGGCUGGGGUAAGGGGAGCCAGGGAGGAGCUGGGCCUAAUGCAGCACCGGGUCCCCAGGAUGCCGUGUCUCGGCUGGAGGAGGAGAUGCGGAAGCUCCAGGCCACGGUGCAGGAGCUCCAGAAGCGCUUGGACAGGCUGGAGGAGACAGUCCAGGCCAAGUAGAGCCCCGCAGGGCCUCCAGCAGGGUCAGCCAUUCACACCCAUCCACUCACCUCCCAUUCCCAGCCACAUGGCAGAGAAAAAAAUCAUAAUAAAAUGGCUUUAUUUUCUGGUACCUCCCAGACUCUGAUGACUGGUCCCCUAGACACGCAGUUUGCUGAACCAACCAGCCCUAGAGCUUCCCCUCCACCGCGCUGAGGGGACUGACCCAUGGCAGGGGAUGUGGGAUGCCCCCUGACUUACUACAUCACAGGAACAGGGCCUUCGUGGGUAGAAACCAGCCAUGCUGAUGU